RNAcentral lists this non-coding RNA (184 nucleotides) under Clostridia bacterium. Its description in RNAcentral is "6S RNA". It matches the Rfam family "6S / SsrS RNA". Rfam says of the family: E. coli 6S RNA was the first non coding RNA to be sequenced, but its function was unknown until recently. The record is from RNAcentral. Lineage: Bacteria; Bacillati; Bacillota; Clostridia.
AUAUGUCUGCGGUGUUCGUGGUAUGAAAUAUUCGUAAUCCACAAAACUAAUACGGGAGCGGAUCCGUUCGUGAAAAUAGACGAGGUCUGUAUAUAAAUACGGAAAGGUUGAAGUUUCACUUCGCCGCACCCACCUGCGAGAAGCGGGUUAACGGCUUUCAUAACACGGCACAGGCGGAUAUUGC